AGAUAUCAAAUUAAAACAAUAAGUUCAUACAACCCCAAGAAUAUAAAAUAAAAUAUAAAACCCGCGUCCCUUUGUUAGGGCUGCAUCCGGCCCUAGAGAGGAAUUUAAGCUUCCAUGCAGUGGAGGACGGCAGCAGCAGCACAGCAGCGGGCUCCCGUCACUUUCUUCUCUUCCUCUUGUGAUUCCCCUAAGAUCGAUUCCUUUCUUUGGGAAAUC
RNAcentral lists this long non-coding RNA (216 nucleotides) under Phoenix dactylifera (date palm). RNAcentral describes it as "long non-coding RNA (PDAC_LNC018635)". The record is from RNAcentral. Lineage: Eukaryota; Viridiplantae; Streptophyta; Magnoliopsida; Arecales; Arecaceae.